GACUAGUGAUGUGAGAAAAUAUUUGCUACUCUUGAACGCCCACUGAUGAUUCCGAUCUACCAUGAUCUCUGAGGCC
RNAcentral lists this small nucleolar RNA (76 nucleotides) under Punica granatum (pomegranate). Its description in RNAcentral is "Small nucleolar RNA SNORD24". It matches the Rfam family "Small nucleolar RNA SNORD24". From Rfam's summary of the family: U24 is a member of the C/D class of snoRNA which contain the C (UGAUGA) and D (CUGA) box motifs. The record is from Rfam by way of RNAcentral. Lineage: Eukaryota; Viridiplantae; Streptophyta; Magnoliopsida; Myrtales; Lythraceae.